This 5436-nucleotide long non-coding RNA is filed under the name Brassica rapa (field mustard). RNAcentral's name for it is "long non-coding RNA (BRAP_LNC002036)". Lineage: Eukaryota; Viridiplantae; Streptophyta; Magnoliopsida; Brassicales; Brassicaceae. The record is from RNAcentral.
UGAUAGACUUUAGAUAUCGUAAAGCUAAAGACUAUAAACGAUUCCUUUGACUAUCAAUGUAAAGAGUUACAGCUUUGAAGUACGAUACUGGUUCACUCUCAUAGCGAGUUCACCAUUCUCGUCAGUCUCAUAGCGACUGUUAGCUCAAGACUCAUAACGUCUGUGAGUUUACAACAUACAAAGCAUAAUCCCCCAAAUGCAUAUACAAUAGCUAUUUAUAUCCUCUUUCUCUGUAACUGCAAAGACUCUCUCUGAAGUAGAAGUUUCUCCCUUCCUUGUCAUUCACUUCACUUCAGACUCCUCACCUGGCUCCACCUGUUCUUUACCUCCUUCCCUGCGAAUAUAAACCUUCUUGAACCUAUCAAUACUUCCCCCAACGAAAUCCAGCUUGCCCUCAAGCUGGUAUGAUGGAAAACAAGCGUGAAAUUCCUGAUACACCAUCCAUGAAUUCUCCAGCGAAGAACGGUUCUUCCACUUCACCAAAAGUUCCAGAUCACCCUUUGAAUUAUAACGUUUGUCCAAAAUAUCCUCUGGUUCCUCCACAACAUCCGUAACUGUAAGGCACCCUGGUGGAAGUUCCUCACACUGAACCUGUUGUCCUACCGCCAACUUCAAUUGAGACACAUGAAAAACCGCAUGAAUCCGAGCCUCAGGAGGAAGCUGAAGCUUGUAAGCGACCCGUCCGACACGUUCAAUAAUCUUGUAAGGACCGUAAAACUUAGCAGCCAACUUUUGACUGAAACGUCUAGCCACUGUUUUCUGUCUGUAAGGCUGCAGCUUCAGAUACACCAUAUCGCCCACAACAAACUCCACUUCUCGACGAGACUUAUCCGCCUGCGCCUUCAUCAAGUCCUGAGCCCGUAACAAAUUUUCUUUCAAAGCUAUCAACGCAUCAUCCCUUUCCCUUAACGCUUUGUCCAACUCGAAAUUCGUUGUAGAUCCAGGUUCGAAACGUAACAAAGGUGGAGGAUCUCUGCCAAAUAAAACUUUGAAUGGGGUUGUUUGCAGAGACUUGUGGUAUGUCGUGUUAUACCAUAACUGUGCCCACGCCAAGUACGUAUGCCAUGAUCGAGGGUGAGACGAAGAAAAACAGCGUAGAUACGUUUCCAAACACCUAUUCAAAACCUCAGAUUGACCGUCCGUUUGAGGAUGAAAAGCGGUGCUAUACUUCAAUGUUGUCCCUGAUAAACGAAAUACCUCAGUCCAAAAAGAACUCAAGAAGAUUCUGUCUCUGUCAGAUACAAUACUCUUCGGAAACCCAUGUAAUUUAACCACCUCAUUCACAAACUUCUUAGCAACAUCCAGAGCCGUAAACGGAUGUUUGAGACUGAGGAAAUGAGCAAACUUACUUAAGCGAUCAAUCACCACCAAGAUCACAUUGAAGCCAUUCGAAGUUGGUAAUCCCUCAAUGAAAUCCAUGUUAAUAUCUUCCCAUACCCUUUCCGGAAUUGGUAACGGUUGUAACAGCCCUGCUGGAGACAAGGUUGAGUGUUUGUGAGUCUGACAAACUGCACAAGAAGCCACGUAUUGCUGAAUCUGCUUAUACAUUCCCUUCCAGAAAAACGAACAUUGAACUCUUUUGACGGUUUUUAGAACUCCAGAAUGACCGCCCAUCUUACUGUCAUGAGCCUCUUGUAAAAUCAAAGGUAUAAAUCGUGAAGAUUUUGGAAUUACUAAGCGCCUCUUGGACCAUAACUUCCCAUCACUGACCUGAUACUUUUUUGAAUUCAACUCGCCUGCCUGCAGUUUCUCAAUCGUCUGUUGGAUCCUUGUAUCCUCUUUAAUCUCAUGAAACAGAUCCUCCCAUUGAAGAACUGUAGGUACUGUCAAAGCCAAACAUAGAGACGAGACUGACAUCGAUCGCGACAGUCCAUCCGCUGCUUUAUUCUCAGGACCUGGCUUGUAAAAGAUAUCAAAAUCGAAGCCAAGUAUCUUAGUCAACCACUUCUGAUACUCUAAAUUUACUUCCUUCUGCUCCAAUAAGAACUUUAAACUUCGUUGAUCUGUAUGAACAUGAAAUUUGCGACCCAGUAGAUAAUGUUUCCAUUUCCUAAUGGCCAUGACGAUAGCCAUUAAUUCACGUUCAUAUGCCGGUUUCAGUUGUUCCCUUGGUGUUAACGCAUGGCUGAAAAACGCGAUAGGUCUCUUGUUCUGCAUCAAAACUGCACCCAAACCAAACCCAGAUGCAUCCGACUCCACGACAAACACCUGAUCAAAGUCCGGCAGAGCUAGAACUGGUGCUUGAACCAUUGCCGCUUUUAGCUGAUCAAACGCCUGUUGUGUUUCCUGCGACCAUAGAAACUGUUCUUUCUUCAAUAACCACGUAAGAGGUCGAGCUAUACUGCCAUAUGCUUUGACGAAUCGUCUGUAAUACCCCGUUAAACCCAAGAACCCCCGUAGCUGUUUAACUGUUUUUGGGGUUGGCCACGCAGUCAUUGCCUCUGUUUUUACUGAAUCUGUAGCUACUCCUUCAGCAGAUAUGAUGUGUCCUAAAUACUCCACAGAACUCACUCCAAACGUGCAUUUCUUCAUAUUAGCAUACAACUUCUGUUCGCGUAACACCUGUAACACCAACCUCAAAUGUUCCUCGUGCUCUUCCUCAUUCGCGCUGUACACCAAGAUAUCAUCGAAAAAUACCAGUACAAACCGGCGAAGAAAUGGUUUGAAAACCUGAUUCAUCAGAGCCUGAAAUGUAGCUGGUGCGUUAGUCAAGCCAAACGGCAUGACAAGAAACUCAUAGUGACCUUCGACUGUUCGAAAAGCUGUCUUCGGAAUAUCAGCCUCGACCAUUCGAAUCUGGUGAUAACCCGAUCGUAGGUCUAACUUGGAGAACACUGAAGCACCAUGAAGUUCGUCUAAGAGCUGAUCGAUAACUGGAAUCGGAUAUUUAUCCAACACCGUGGCUCUGUUUAAUGCUCGAUAAUCAACACAGAAACGCAGUGAACCGUCCUUCUUCUUAACCAGUAGCACUGGACUCGAAAAAGGGCUGGUACUAGGUUGUAUGAUUCCUGUUGCGAGCAUUUCCGUCACCAUCUGUUCCAUCGCUACCUUACUUGCGUGAGGGUAACGAAAUGGACGAACAGAUACUGCCGACACUCCUUGUUUCAAUGUGAUUGCAUGUUCCUUUCCCCGAAAUGGAGGUAAAGUAGUUGGAAUGGCAAACACAUCUGAAUAUUCUUGGAGUAGCAGUGGGAAUUUUGGUGAUGAUUCUGGUUUCGAAGAUGUAGCACUAGAUGUAGCAAGAAGCGCUCCUCUUCCUGUCUUACUACAUGUAGCGACCGGCAUCAACGACUUGAAUGAGAAUUUGGUGCAGUGCAGGUCCUUCUCACCCCGCAAAGUCACCUUAUUCCCAUUGUAGACAAACGAAAGGACCUGCUCCUUCCAGUCCACUUCGCAAGUGCCUAACGUUUCAAGCCAUUGAAUGCCUAGUAUCACAUCCACGUUUCCCAGUUCUAAAGAGAUGAAGUCACUUGUGAAGUUGGUCUUGUUGAUUUGAAAUGCGACUGCUUGGCAAAUUCCCAAAGCGUUCACAGUCACACCAUUUCCCAACAACACGUCCAAGCUACUGUCUGCAUAAACUUUCAAUCGUAGCUUGGUCACAACUUCUGGUGAAAUGAAGUUGUGAGAUGCUCCGCUAUCGAGCAUGACUACCACCUCCUUGUCUUGUAUAUAUCCCCUCAUCUUAGUCGUCUUUGGGGAAUUAAUGCCCAAAUAAGAGUUGAGUGAUAAAGUACGCAGGACUUGUUGUUGUUGAUCGACAAAGAACUCCUCCUCGCUUUGUGAAUCAAUGACUUCAAGUUCCAAGCCGUUGAUUACCGUGAGAACUCUUAGUUGUCUAUUAGGGCAAAUGUCUUUAUGAGCUGGUGACCAUGGCGCCUUACAACGGAAACAAAUCUUGUCUUUACGCAUGCGGUCAAGUUCUACAUCAGAGUAUUGUAGUCUUGAACGAACUGUACUCUUCUGCGGAUUAGUGUUUUCUUUGCUUGCCGUUGUAUCCAACUUAAAAGUAUCACCACUCUGUUUUGCUGGAAAGUUCGAAUGACGAGCUGUAGAAGAGUGUCUUGACACAGUCCGAUGAGAGUCACUCCCCUGAGCUGAACCAAUCACUUUACAAAACGUUGUACUCUGCAUCUUCAACACCGCAAGUUUGUGGUCUGUCAAACUCACUGGCUCCUUCAUCCGGAUCACUUCUUUCAUUUCCGAUUUCAAACCAUUGAAGAACACCUUGAUUAGAUUCUUCUCGUCAAUUCCCGUAACUUGGUUUCUCAAAGCUUCAAACUCGUUAACAUAAUCCUCAACCUCUCCCUCCUGUUUUAAACAGAACAAUCUUGCAGCUGGAUCGUUGUCAAUUGGACCCCCAAAUCUGUCUAGCAUCCUCUGAGUAAACUGUUCCCAGUUGACAAAAGGAUCACAGAUAAUCUCCCCAUUGAACCAUUGUAGCACUGGACCUUCCAAGCUCAAGGAAACUAGCUGUAACUUCUCUUCCUCAUUGUAGUUACCAAACCUGAAAAAUCUUUCCACACGAGAGAUCCAAUCGAAUGGCAAUGGACCAGAGAACACAGGCAUUUCAAUUUUCCUCAACAUCUUAUCACGAUUCGCCAUAGUACCAUGGAUUCCCCGAUAACCUAACUGUGUGGGAGGUAGUUCCGGCUCAGAGAUAGUUAUCGGUACCUGAGGAUGCUGAUGAUCUGAUGAUGAUGCGAUUUCUUUUCCCGGACGUUGCGGAAACGCAGCUGAUUCCUCGAAUCGCGUCAAAAGAUCUGUGAUAACCGUCAUCCUCCUCUCGAGAGCUUCGAAUCGCGUCGUCGUCUCCACACCGAUCGCGUCGAUCUUCUUCUCCACCGAAUCAACCUUCGUCGACAUUGAUUCCACUCGUUCCUUUGUCGAUCGAUCGUUACGAGCCAGCGUGUCGUAGUUGAGCUUCGUCAGCUCCAUUUCAUCUUGAAUCCGUUGCAGAUCCAUCGAUCUCAGUGGCUCCGCGGUCGACGACUUCUCCCGAUCACCUCCGUUUCUUGUUUCUACCAUCGCUUCACCGUCGCGUUGCUUCCGAUCAGUUUCACCGCACCAGUGAUAGACUUUAGAUAUCGUAAAGCUAAAGAUUAUAAACGAUUCCUUUGACUAUCAAUGUAAAGAGUUACAGCUUUGAAGUACGAUACUGGUUCACUCUCAUAGCGAGUUCACCAUUCUCGUCAGUCUCAUAGCGACUGUUAGCUCAAGACUCAUAACGUCUGUGAGUUUACAACAUACAAAGCAUAAUCCCCCAAAUGCAUAUACAAUAGCUAUUUAUAUCCUCUUUCUCUGUAACUGCAAAGACUCUCUCUGAAGUAGAAGUUUCUCCCUUCCUUGUCAUUCACUUCACUUCAGACUCCUCACCUGGCUCCACCUGUUCUUUACCUCCUUCCCUGCGAAUAUAAACCUUCUUGAACCUAUCAGACU